GCUCUGGUGGCCUAGUGGUUAGAGCAUCCACCUUGGAUGCAGGAGGUCAUUGGUUUGAUCUCCGACUGAGUCAUACCUAAAACA
Molecule: non-coding RNA, 84 nt
Organism: Potamilus streckersoni
Lineage: Eukaryota; Metazoa; Mollusca; Bivalvia; Unionida; Unionidae
Source: the annotation of a GenBank genome assembly